AUUGAACGCUGGCGGCAUGCUUUACACAUGCAAGUCGAACGGCAGCACGGGAGCUUGCUCCUGGUGGCGAGUGGCGAACGGGUGAGUAAUGCAUCGGAACGUACCCAGUAGUGGGGGAUAGCCCGGCGAAAGCCGGAUUAAUACCGCAUAUUUCCUGAGGGAGAAAGCGGGGGACCUUCGGGCCUCGCGCUACUGGAGCGGCUGAUGUCGGAUUAGCUAGUUGGUGAGGUAAAGGCUCACCAAGGCGACGAUCCGUAGCUGGUCUGAGAGGAUGAUCAGCCACACUGGGACUGAGACACGGCCCAGACUCCUACGGGAGGCAGCAGUGGGGAAUUUUGGACAAUGGGGGCAACCCUGAUCCAGCCAUGCCGCGUGAGUGAAGAAGGCCUCGGUUGU
This 396-nucleotide ribosomal RNA is filed under the name uncultured bacterium. Its description in RNAcentral is "bacterial SSU rRNA". It matches the Rfam family "Bacterial small subunit ribosomal RNA", at positions 30 to 426 of the family's 1533-position model. The record is from RNAcentral.